Candidatus Portnoybacteria bacterium RBG_13_40_8 is the source of this 73-nucleotide non-coding RNA. NCBI's taxonomy places the organism in Bacteria, Candidatus Portnoyibacteriota. The record is from Rfam.
GCCAGGGUAGCUCAGUUGGUAGAGCGUGGGACUCAUAAGCCCGAGGUCGUGGGUUCAAUCCCCACCCCUGGUA